AAAAGAACAAAUUUGCUAGAAAUUGCUAAUUUUAAAAAGGCACAUUCAAGGGCUGGGAUGAGGUCUGAGCUAAGAAGUGGAAGAUGUGACGUGCUAUGGGACAGAGGAAGUCUGUAACUCACAUUAACUGCCACUGCAGUCAGAGAGACAGCAGAGAUGGGGGAUGCCACCACUGCCAGGGACCCCAGCAGCAGCAGCUGCCACCACAGCAGUAACCAGUUUGGCACAGGAAAAGUAGAUAUGGCAGGACCAACACAUGAGGUGUUUGUCCUUGCCAGCCACGCAAUGAGAAGGGGCACAUCCCACUGUCACAGAGCUCCCCACACCUAACACUAUCUGUGAUGCACCCCAAGGGUGAGUUGCUGACCCCAAAAUACUGAUUGUAUUCCCAGUGAAACCACUCAGAGCUGUGAACCCAAAGCCCUCUGGUGUGGAGCAUCCACUCACCUUCUGCCAGGGGGUCCAGGGUGUGGAUCAUGAGCUGGACGAUGGUGCCGCGCAUCUGGGAGUUGUGCAGGGAGGCCGAGCUGCUGCCCCGCUGCAGGGCUGGCCCAGGCUGUGGGAAGGCACAAAACCACUCAGUCCCAGCUUCUUUGUCCUCUACAUCAAACAAGGCCUCUCCAGGCCAUGGGGCAGCAAUUCAACAGCAGCAGAGGAAUCUGCUGUUCAGUGUUUGCUAUGGGAAAGGACAGACCCCGCCAGCCGCUGCUAUGGCAGCCCAGGAAGAAAUUUAGCCACGAGACCAGCAUUUAGCUUCUUUUUCAGCUCCUGCUUCACCCAUUGCUCCAGGAACACGUUCUGUUUCAUGGUGAACACGUAUGCGGCAUAGGCAGUCAGUAAAAGGAGGCUUUCCCACCAAUCAAUGACACUGUCU
This is a long non-coding RNA of Onychostruthus taczanowskii (white-rumped snowfinch), 874 nucleotides long. RefSeq lists it as uncharacterized. Lineage: Eukaryota; Metazoa; Chordata; Aves; Passeriformes; Passeridae. The transcript is spliced from 3 exons. The record is from RefSeq and is a predicted model, not a curated record.